UCGGGAAUUUUGGGCAAUGGGCGAAAGCCUGACCCAGCAACGCCGCGUGAAGGAUGAAGUAUUCGGUAUGUAAACUUCGAAAGAAUAGGAAGAAUAAAUGACGGUACUAUUUAUAAGGUCCGGCUAACUACGUGCCAGCAGCCGCGGUAAUACGUAGGGACCAAGCGUUGUUCGGAUUUACUGGGCGUAAAGGGCGCGUAGGCGGCAAUUCAAGUCAUCUGUGAAAUCUCCGGGCUUAACUCGGAACGGUCAGAUGAUACUGCUUUGCUAGAGUGCAGAAGGGGCAAUCGGAAUUCUUGGUGUAGCGGUGAAAUGCGUAGAUAUCAAGAGGAACACCUGAGGUGAAGACGGGUUGCUGGGCUGACACUGACGCUGAGGCGCGAAAGCCAGGGGAGCAAACGGGAUUAGAUACCCCAGUAGUCCCUGAGCGGGCUGGCAAGGCGCAU
RNAcentral lists this ribosomal RNA (446 nucleotides) under uncultured bacterium. Its description in RNAcentral is "bacterial SSU rRNA". It matches the Rfam family "Bacterial small subunit ribosomal RNA", at positions 355 to 825 of the family's 1533-position model. The record is from RNAcentral.